GACGAACGCUGGCGGCGUGCUUAACACAUGCAAGUCGAACGAUGAAACCUAGCUUGCUAGGUCGAUUAGUGGCGAACGGAUGAGUAACACGUGACUAACCUGCCCCUUUCUCUGGGAAUAACGCUCCGAAAGGAGUGCUAAUACCGGAUACUCACAUCGAGGCACAUGCCUUGGUGUGGAAAGUUUUUCGGAAAGGGAUGGAGUCGCGGCCUAUCAGCUUGUUGGUGAGGUAACGGCUCACCAAGGCGACGACGGGUAGCCGGCCUGAGAGGGCGACCGGCCCCACUGGGACUGAGACACGGCCCAGACUCCUACGGGAGGCAGCAGUGGGGAAUAUUGCACAAUGGGCGCAAGCCUGAUGCAGCGACGCCGCGUGAGGGAUGAAGGUCUUCGGAUUGUAAACCUCUUUCAGUAGGGACGAAGCGAAAGUGACGGUACCUAAAGAAGAAGCACCGGCUAACUACGUGCCAGCCGCCGCGGUAA
This 483-nucleotide ribosomal RNA is filed under the name uncultured bacterium. RNAcentral describes it as "partial 16S ribosomal RNA". It matches the Rfam family "Bacterial small subunit ribosomal RNA", at positions 28 to 523 of the family's 1533-position model. The record is from RNAcentral.